This 1163-nucleotide long non-coding RNA is filed under the name Salmo salar (Atlantic salmon). RNAcentral describes it as "lncRNA (ENSSSAG00000118792.1)". The record is from RNAcentral. Lineage: Eukaryota; Metazoa; Chordata; Actinopteri; Salmoniformes; Salmonidae.
CUUUUGGUCAUGUAGAGUACACUGAGUAUACAACACAAUAAUAACAGCUGCUCUUUCCAUGACAUAGACUGACCAGGUAAACGCUAUGAUCCCAUAUUCAUGUCACCUGUUAAAUUCAUGUCAAUCAGUGUAGAUGAACAGGAGGAGACAGGUUAAAGAAGGAUUUUCAAGCCUUGAGACAAUUGAGACAUGUAUUGUGUAUGUGUGCCAUACAGAGGGUGAAUAGACAAGACAAAAGAUUGAAGUGCCUUUGAACAGGGUAUACUAGUAGGUGCCAUGCGCACCGGUCUGAGUGUGUCAAGAACUGCAAUGCUGCUAGGUUUUUCACACUCAAUAGUUUCCCGUGUGUAUCAAGAAUGUUCCACCUCCCAAAACACAUUGAGCCAACUUGAUACAACUGUGGGAAGCAUUGGAGCCAACAUGGGCUUGCAUCCCUGUGGAAUGCUUUCGACACUUUGUAGUAGACUGUAAGAAUGUACUCCCAAUAACUGAAGGCCUCUCCUGACUGAUAACAAGUCCUGUGAUAGGCGUGGAGGAGUACCGGACUCAAGUUGGGACGAUAAGACAACCUGCACAGCCCCAGAGAUGUAUUGUUCAUCCUAGACACAGAGUGGGGGCUGUUUGGGAAGGGGGUCCUAGUCAGAGGUUAUAAAUGUAUCACCUAGCCUGAGCUUUCUUUGGUAUCCGUCUGGAUUAUUGAACCACAAGUUAUUUACUGUACUCACUUAAAAACUCAUGCCCUCUCCUCCCUCUAAGUCUCCCAGACUUUCCCCGUCCCCAGGUGCCUGCUGGUCCAUGGUCAGAGCAGCACAUUAUCCCCAGGUGCCUGCUGGGCCAUGGUCAGAGCAGCACAUCGUCCCCAGGUGCCUGCUGGGCCAUGGUCAGAGCAGCACAUCGUCCCCAGGUGCCUGCUGGGACAUGGUCAGAGCAGCACAUCACUAAACAUGCCACUCGGUUGUCAGCUGUCAGCAGGCUGUUCCCUAAGGAAGGAGAAAAUGGUGAAGGCAUUCAAAGGCCGGUUAUUAUUCUCAUUUUUACUAACUACUGUCGUGUCUUUGGCUAUGCCGGAUUAAGUGAUAUGACAUGCUAUUCUAUAAAAUAAUAUAUCUGUAAUUAAUAUUACCUGAUUAAGCUAAUCAGGUAAAUAAUUAACUAGAAAGUCG